ACGGGUGAGUAACGCGUGGGAAUCUACCGUACCCUACGGAAUAGCUCCGGGAAACUGGAAGUAAUACCGUAUACGCCCGAAAGGGGAAAGAUUUAUCGGGGUAUGAUGAGCCCGCGUUGGAUUAGCUAGUUGGUGGGGUAAAGGCCUACCAAGGCGACGAUCCAUAGCUGGUCUGAGAGGAUGAUCAGCCACAUUGGGACUGAGACACGGCCCAAACUCCUACGGGAGGCAGCAGUGGGGAAUAUUGGACAAUGGGGGCAACCCUGAUCCAGCCAUGCCGCGUGAGUGAUGAAGGUCUUAGGAUUGUAAAGCUCUUUCACCGAUGAAGAUAAUGACGGUAGUCGGAGAAGAAGCCCCGGCAAACUUCGUGCCAGCAGCCGCGGUAAUACGAAGGGGGCUAGCGUUGUUCGGAAUUACUGGGCGUAAAGCGCACGUAGGCGGAUAAUUAAGUCAGGGGUGAAAUCCCGCAGCUCAACUGCGGAACUGCCUUUGAUACUGGUUAUCUUGAGUAUGGAAGAGGUAAGUGGAAUUGCGAGUGUAGAGGUGAAAUUCGUAGA
RNAcentral lists this ribosomal RNA (557 nucleotides) under uncultured bacterium. RNAcentral's name for it is "bacterial SSU rRNA". It matches the Rfam family "Bacterial small subunit ribosomal RNA", at positions 102 to 694 of the family's 1533-position model. The record is from RNAcentral.